This 369-nucleotide ribosomal RNA is filed under the name uncultured cyanobacterium. RNAcentral's name for it is "bacterial SSU rRNA". It matches the Rfam family "Bacterial small subunit ribosomal RNA", at positions 411 to 795 of the family's 1533-position model. Lineage: Bacteria; Bacillati; Cyanobacteriota. The record is from RNAcentral.
AAGGUUUUUGGAUCGUAAACCCCUUUUGUCAAGGAAGAAGCUCUGACGGUACUUGACGAAUAAGCCUCGGCUAACUCCGUGCCAGCAGCCGCGGUAAUACGGAGGAGGCAAGCGUUAUCCGGAGUGAUUGGGCGUAAAGCGUCUGUAGGUGGCCAGCUAAGUCUGCUGUUAAAGAUCACAGCUCAACUGUGGGAAGGCAGUGGAAACUGGCAAGCUAGAGGUUGGUAGGGGUAAAGGGAAUUCCCGGUGUAGCGGUGAAAUGCGUAGAUAUCGGGAAGAACACCGGUGGCGAAAGCGCUUUACUGGGCCAGACCUGACACUGAAGGACGAAAGCUAGGGGAGCGAAAGGGAUUAGAUACCCCUGUAGUC